UACGGGGGGAGCAAGCGUUGUUCGGAUUUACUGGGCGUAAAGGGCGCGUAGGCGGCCACCGCAAGUCGACUGUGAAAUCUCCGGGCUUAACCCGGAACGGUCAGCCGAUACUGCGGGGCUAGAGUGCAGAAGGGGCAACUGGAAUUCUCGGUGUAGCGGUGAAAUGCGUAGAUAUCUGGAGGAAUACCGGUGGCGAAGGCGGCAUCCUGGACCGGCAUUGACGCUGAGUGAGCGAAAGCUAGGGGAGCAAACGGG
RNAcentral lists this ribosomal RNA (255 nucleotides) under uncultured bacterium. RNAcentral's name for it is "partial 16S ribosomal RNA". It matches the Rfam family "Bacterial small subunit ribosomal RNA", at positions 524 to 776 of the family's 1533-position model. The record is from RNAcentral.